Molecule: transfer RNA, 83 nt
Filed under: Atopostipes suicloacalis
Lineage: Bacteria; Bacillati; Bacillota; Bacilli; Lactobacillales; Carnobacteriaceae
Description: tRNA-Tyr
Rfam family: tRNA
About the family: Transfer RNA (tRNA) molecules are approximately 80 nucleotides in length. Their secondary structure includes four short double-helical elements and three loops (D, anti-codon, and T loops).
Source: RNAcentral
GGUGGGAUAGCGAAGUGGCUAAACGCAGCGGACUGUAAAUCCGCCCCUUUUCAGGUUCGAAGGUUCGAAUCCUUCUCCCACCA